GAUGAACGCUGGCGGCGUGCCUAAUACAUGCAAGUCGAGCGGACAGAUAAGGAGCUUGCUGCGUGGACGUGAGCGGCGGGCGGGUGAGUAACACGUGGAUAACCUACUUAUAAGACGGGGAUAACUUCGAGAAACCGGAGAAAAUACGGGAGAACAUAUUGAAGCGCAUGGUUGGAUAGUAAAAUGCGGCGUUGCUGGCACUUAUAGAGGGAUCCGCGCCGUAUGAGCUAGUUGGUAAGGUAAAGGCUUACGAAGGCAACGAUGCGUAGACGAGCGGAGAGGCUGAUAGGCCACCCUGGAGCUUAGACACCGUCCAUACUCCUACGGUACGCAGCAGUAGCGAAUCUUCCGCAAUGGUCGAGAGCCUGACGCAGCAACGCCGAGUGUGUUAUGACGGCCUUCGGUUCGUAAAACCCUGUUAUCAGGUAAGAACCAAUGUGUAAUUAAACGUGCCCAUCUUGACGGUACCUGAUAAGAAAGCCACGGCUAACUACGUG
This 497-nucleotide ribosomal RNA is filed under the name uncultured bacterium. RNAcentral's name for it is "partial 16S ribosomal RNA". It matches the Rfam family "Bacterial small subunit ribosomal RNA", at positions 28 to 507 of the family's 1533-position model. The record is from RNAcentral.